UCACAUAGUAACUGCUUUUCUGUCAUUGC
RNAcentral lists this small RNA (29 nucleotides) under Bombyx mori (domestic silkworm). Its description in RNAcentral is "piRNA piR-bmo-1965017". The record is from RNAcentral. Lineage: Eukaryota; Metazoa; Arthropoda; Insecta; Lepidoptera; Bombycidae.